AGUCCCAUCAUCAGAGCCAGAAGACUCUGCAUUUUGGAGGCCAGCUGAGAAGCUCUUUUUAUAUCUGCAGGAUUCAGGCUCUCUUCUUCACAAGAUACUCCCAGACCAUACUUGGAGAAAACAGAACUAGAGUUCAUGAAAAGCAAAACUAUAAGCAGAGUUGUAAACUUUCAGCACUUCGCUCCCGGUCAGGCAUCUCACAGUUCUCCCGACAUGCUUCACUCCUCCAGGAAAUGCCUGCCGAAGACCAAGUUGAGACAAUUUCUGGCCUCUCCACACCCUCUGUUGUGACUUCCUCUUCAUAACUGACUGACAUCUCAGGAAUCUCCCCAUAAUUCUGUAUUUCUUUUGAAGGAACUGCAGUCUGUAAAUUAUAGUAAACAAAGUAAGUGUGAAUGAGUAGAAAGAUGAUGAACUUUCAAGUCAGAUAGGGCUGGCCUUGAAUUCUAUAGUAGAUCCCCUGUUUGGCUUCCUCUGCUGUAAAGUAACAGUAGUGUCUACUUCCAAUAAUAAUGCCUAUUAACAAAAGUUAAUAACUACGUAUUAAUUGCUAAAUGUACAGCACCUAACAGCACAGCAGGGCACAGGCAGUAGGUAUAUGACAGAUAUACAUCCCAUUUACUUUGACAAAAGGAAAAUUAAACUUUCAUCCUCUUACCAUUUUCUAUUAUGGAAACUUCUCUGCACACAUAUAAGAUGCUUUGACUUCAAAUGAAUUCAGACAAAUAAAUGUACCAAUUACCUUA
Symphalangus syndactylus (siamang) is the source of this 746-nucleotide long non-coding RNA. RefSeq lists it as uncharacterized. The record is from RefSeq and is a predicted model, not a curated record. Lineage: Eukaryota; Metazoa; Chordata; Mammalia; Primates; Hylobatidae.